RNAcentral lists this ribosomal RNA (468 nucleotides) under uncultured bacterium. RNAcentral's name for it is "bacterial SSU rRNA". It matches the Rfam family "Bacterial small subunit ribosomal RNA", at positions 326 to 793 of the family's 1533-position model. The record is from RNAcentral.
ACGCUAUCACUCCUACGGGAGGCAGCAGUAAGGAAUAUUGGACAAUGGGCGAAAGCCUGAUCCAGCCAUGCCGCGUGGUGGAUGACGGCCCUCCGGGUUGUAAACACCUUUUAUCUGGGGAUAAUGGUUUCCUAUACGGAAGCUUGCAGGUACCAGAUGAAUAAGCACCGGCUAACUACGUGCCAGCAGCCGCGGUAAUACGUAGGGUGCAAGCGUUAUCCGGAAUUACUGGGUUUAAAGGGUGCGUAGGCGGGCGAUUAAGUCAGAGGUGAAAGCUUUCAGCUUAACUGAGAAAUUGCCUUUGAUACUGAUUGUCUUGAAAUAUGUUGAGGUUAGCAGAAUGUGGCAUGUAGCGGUGAAAUGCAUAGAUAUGCCAUAGAAUACCAAUUGCGAAGGCAGCUAACUGGGCAUUAUUUGACGCUGAGGCACGAAAGCGUGGGGAGCGAACAGGAUUAGAUACCCUGGUAG